This 552-nucleotide long non-coding RNA is filed under the name Struthio camelus australis. Its description in RNAcentral is "lncRNA (ENSSCUG00000016181.1)". Lineage: Eukaryota; Metazoa; Chordata; Aves; Struthioniformes; Struthionidae. The record is from RNAcentral.
GCGGUGGCUUGGGUCUCCACGUUAGGCUGCUGCGAGGAACUGCAACUGAAAUCAGGGAAAUCAGUUUGCUCCAAGCUGGGUCCAGACGAAGAGAGAGAAAAAAAAAAAAAGAGAGCGUGAAGAAGAAAUGCCACUUAGGAGAUGUGAAUGGGUCACAGGGCUACAUGUGCUGGAAGCUACACAGAAGUCUCAUGCAAGUGGUGCCUGUUGUUUUCCUGACCGGAGCCUGCUUUCUGAUGCUAAAGCAGAGUGCAGUUCCUGUGUAGAAACUGAGGACAAAAAAAAAUUUACCCGCUCCUCACUGUUGAGGAAGGAUUGUCCUGCUCCUUGCUGCGCUGCUGGCGCUACAAGGGAGGAAGAGGCAGGAGCUGAUGCUGAACAGAGAUGUUCACCCUGGAACGGGAAACGGCUUGGCUUCUUACCCUCACAAACCUGCCUCGCUGCGUGCGAAGAACCCGCUUCCGUCAGGGCGGAAGAUAAGUUUCUGAAGAACAAACUGUGCUCUGUGUUACUGGACCAAAGAAAAAGGAUUAGAGAAUGAACAACCCUAGG